CCAAAAGCUUUGAUUGGGAAGAGUACGCUAAACUAGCUUUUAGAGAGGAAGAUGAAUUGCUGAAACAUCUUCUAAGUGAAAGUAGCCGAAUGUCGCCCAGGAGCUGUUUAUAUGAACCCGUAAUGGAAGUAGUAUAGGCCGGACAAUGUUCGUUAACGGAAUGAAGAUCUAGAGAUGGUCUAUCCUUCUCUAGAAAAAAGGUGGUACCGCGAACAAACUCCCUCGUCCUUUUG
RNAcentral lists this non-coding RNA (233 nucleotides) under Bacillus coahuilensis. RNAcentral's name for it is "T-box sequence". It matches the Rfam family "T-box leader". Rfam says of the family: Uncharged tRNA acts as the effector for transcription antitermination of genes in the T-box leader family. T-boxes are found upstream of many aminoacyl-tRNA synthetase genes and some amino acid biosynthetic genes usually in Gram-positive bacteria. Lineage: Bacteria; Bacillati; Bacillota; Bacilli; Caryophanales; Bacillaceae. The record is from RNAcentral.